UCUAAGCUCAAGAAAUUAGCCAAGCCC
RNAcentral lists this non-coding RNA (27 nucleotides) under Mus musculus (house mouse). Lineage: Eukaryota; Metazoa; Chordata; Mammalia; Rodentia; Muridae. The record is from RNAcentral.